AUGGCUCCUCCACGCCGCCCCCCUCCUUCCCGGCCCGCUAACCACGCCGUGUUCCUCCUCCUCGCCGCGGCCGCCCUCUUCGGGCCCGCCGUCGGGGUGGAGAUCCUCUCCAAGUCCCGCCUGGAGCGCUGCGCCCUGGACUCGGGGGCAGGCGGCGCCCUGGCCUGCGACCGCAAGCUCGUCCUCAACCUCGCCGUCCCCAGCGGCUCCAGCAGCGGCGAAUCGUCGCUGGUGGCGGAGGUGGUGGAGGUCGAGGAGGAUGAUACGCAGGCGAUGCAGACGGUGCGGGAUCCCCCCGUCAUCACCAUCAACAAGUCCGCCGUCUACGCGCUCUACGCCAUCAGCUACCUCAGGGAUGUUGCUUAUAAACCAGAGGAAAUGUUUACCAAGACACAUAAAUGCGAGUCAGAUGCUGGUGCUAAUGUUGUUGGAGUUUGUGAAAGGUUAUGGGAUCAGAACGGUCACGUAAUUGAGCAUACAGAGCCGGUUUGCUGUCCAUGUGGGCCUCAUCGCCGUGUUGGUUCGUCUUGCGGAUCAAUUUUUGAUAAAAUGAUUAAAGGCAAAGCUAAUACGGCUCACUGUGUACGUUUUCCAGGUGAUUGGUUUCAUGUUUUUGGAAUUGGGACGAGGUCAACUGGGUACAGCAUCAGAGUACAAGUAAAGAAAGGCUCUUCUGUAACGGAGGUUAUUGUUAGUCCAGAGAAUAAAACAGUUGUUUCUAAAGAUAACUUUCUGAGAGUAAAUCUCAUUGGUGACUUGGUUGGUCACGAAAGUAUGCCAACAUUUGAAGACUUCUAUCUUGUGACUCCACGGAAGGGUGGUGGUGAGGGUCAACCGCAAGUUCUUGGCGAUGAGUUUUCCUGGUGGAUGCUGUUGGAGAGAGUCCGGUUUACAUUAGAUGGACUUGAGUGCAACAAGAUUGGUGUUGGGUAUGAAGCUUACAGAAACCAGCCUAACCUCUGUGGAUCACCAUUUGGGAGCUGCUUGUACAAUCAGCUUUGGAAUUUCAAGGAGUCUGACGACAAUCGAAUAAACAGAAACCAAGAGCCCCAGUAUAUUGUGCAGGGACGAUUUGAUAGGAUCAACCAACACCCGAAUGCAGGAGCUCAUUCAUUCUCUAUUGGAAUCACAGAAACUCUGAAUACUAAUUUGCUGAUAGAGCUGAGUGCUGAUGAUAUAAAUUAUGUAUACCAGAGGAGUCCAGGGAAAAUAAUUGACAUUAAUGUCCCUACAUUUGAAGCCUUAAGCCAAGUUGGUACAGCCAAGGUCACAAUUAAGAACAUUGGCAAACUGGAAGCGUCAUAUAGCUUGACGUUCGACUGCUUAAGUGGCAUCAGUUAUGUGGAGGAGCAAUUCUUCAUCAUCAAACCUGGCCAAGUGCUUAUCCGCUCAUUUUAUUUGCGUUCCUCAUCAGACCAAGCAUCAAAAUAUCGCUGCUCGGCUAUUUUGAAAGCGUCAGAUUUCAGUGAACUUGACAGAGCAGAGUGUCAGUUCUCUACUACAGCCACAGUUCUUGACAAUGGAACACAGAUCAGCCCACCGAAGCAGCAUAAGAAGGGUGGCAUCAGGGGUUUCAUCGAAGCCAUCAAAACCUUGUGGCGCAACACGUGGGACAGCGUGAUCGAUUUCUUCACCGGCAGAUCAUGCAGCACCAAGUGCUCGAGCUUCCUGGACCUGAGCUGCCACAUCCAGUACAUAUGCAUCGGCUGGCUCGUCAUGUUCGGCCUGCUGCUCACCACGCUACCCGCAGUUGCGGUGCUGCUGUGGCUGCUCCACCAGAAGGGCAUGUUCGACCCGCUGUACGACUGCUGGGAGGACGUGUUCGGGCUGCCGGAGGCCGCGCACCCGAAGCACCGGGAAGGUCGAGGCCAUCACGCGCACGCCCACACCCACCACCACCACCACCACCACAGCAAGCACCCGCACGCGCACAAGAAGCGUAGCAGCGGGGCGGUCGGGCAGCAGCAGCACCACAAUCACCACCAUGUCCUCCACAGGCACGGUGGCAAGCCCGACGACGGCGAGCGGCACCGGCAUGCAGCAGCGCUCGGCGUGCAGCACAGGGACGCCGGGCACAAGCACCACCGUCACGGCAAGGCGCCGCAGAGGGAGAGGGCACAAGACCGCGACCAUGAGCGCCGCCACCACCACUCUCGUGCGGCGUAG
Molecule: ribosomal RNA, 2166 nt
Filed under: Triticum aestivum (bread wheat)
Lineage: Eukaryota; Viridiplantae; Streptophyta; Magnoliopsida; Poales; Poaceae
Description: partial small subunit ribosomal RNA
Source: RNAcentral